Molecule: transfer RNA, 72 nt
Filed under: Jakoba libera
Lineage: Eukaryota; Jakobea; Jakobida; Jakobidae
Description: tRNA-Cys
Rfam family: tRNA
About the family: Transfer RNA (tRNA) molecules are approximately 80 nucleotides in length. Their secondary structure includes four short double-helical elements and three loops (D, anti-codon, and T loops).
Source: RNAcentral
GACUGGGUAGCAUAAUGGUUAUGCGUGAGAUUGCAAAUCUUUGUCAAGGCGGUUCGAUUCCGCUCUCAGUCU